This 1098-nucleotide long non-coding RNA is filed under the name Homo sapiens (human). RNAcentral's name for it is "HSALNT0247920". The record is from RNAcentral. Lineage: Eukaryota; Metazoa; Chordata; Mammalia; Primates; Hominidae.
AACAAAUCAUCCAGGCUAUCCCACUUCUGUAGCCUGCCCACAGCUUUCCCAAGCCAACAGCCUCCAACUGGGGCAUUUGCCUAUUCUCCUCUGGGUUGCUUGCAUUUAUUUCCACCUAGGGGAACAAUGAGGUGAGCCCCAUGAAUACCCCAGUCCAUUGCCUGCAAGGAGUUUCCAUGCCACAACACAGGGAGGGUGCUAAAGUGAAGCCCGCCAGUCUCCCAAAGUGGAACAGACAGAGCUCCACGGAGCCUGGUGAGGUCAGGGUGACUGCAGUCAAUGGAGCAGAAUCUGGGAGAGGAGAGAGCUGUACAGAAGAGACUAGAGGAAGGAGGGCUGCAGGAACUUGGAGUACUACAUGUAAUAACAUACUGGUCAUCACUCUUGGCAAAUAUUGAAAGCUUCACUUGGUCCCUGACACCUAAAGGAUAAAGAAGAGCUUGAUGAUCUGAUGUGAGGUCUGGAGAUCAGAAGUCCAAAAAAUGGGUCUCACUGAGCUACAAUCAAGGUGUCAACAGGCUGUGUCCUUUCCUGGAGGCUCUGGGAGAGAAUCGGUAUCCUUGCUCUUUUCCCACUUCGAGAGGCUGCCACAUUCCUUGGCUGGUGGCUCCUUCCUCCAUCUUCAAAGCCAGCGACAGAUGGUGAAUGGAGUCCUUUCACGUGGCUCACUCUGCCCUUGUUCCUGCUGUCACAUCCCCCCUUCUCUGUCUGACUUUUCUGUCCCCUUCCUCCACUCUUGUCAUUACCUUGGGCCCAUCUGAAAAUCCUGGAUCGUCCCCCUAAUUAAAGUCAGUGGACUAGCAACUUUAAUUCCAUCUGCAACCUUAGUUCCCUUCUGUCAUGUAGCCUAACCUCAUCACGAGUGUCAGGGAUUUGCACGUGGACAUCCUCAGGGACCCCAUCGUGAGUGGUUGGGGGGAUGUGGCCAGAAAGAAGGCAGUGGCAGAAUGCCCAAGAACUCUGCAGCUGCGCUGAGGCAUCUGAGAGCCAAGGAGGAAACCUUCUUUGUGGUUAAGUAAGAAUGAACUAAUAUCCAUCUGGCAUUUGGCAUUUUACACUGCACUUUUUGUACAUUAUCUCAUUGGAUCUUAAAAACAG